RNAcentral lists this ribosomal RNA (253 nucleotides) under uncultured bacterium. RNAcentral describes it as "partial 16S ribosomal RNA". It matches the Rfam family "Bacterial small subunit ribosomal RNA", at positions 524 to 776 of the family's 1533-position model. The record is from RNAcentral.
UACAGGGGGUGCAAGCGUUGUUCGGAAUCACUGGGCGUAAAGGGAGCGUAGGCGGGACUACAAGACAGAGGUCAAAUCUCCGGGCUCAACCUGGAACUUGCCUUUGUGACUGUAGCCCUUGAGUAUGGUAGAGGUUGGCGGAAUUUCCGGUGUAGCGGUGGAAUGCGUAGAGAUCGGAAAGAACACCAGAGGCGAAGGCGGCCAACUGGACCAAUACUGACGCUGAGGCUCGAAAGCGUGGGGAGCAAACAGG